Molecule: long non-coding RNA, 793 nt
Filed under: Toxoplasma gondii VEG
Lineage: Eukaryota; Apicomplexa; Conoidasida; Eucoccidiorida; Sarcocystidae
Source: RNAcentral
GUCACAUCUGACGGCUGUACAGCUGCAUAAUCAAGUCUGCUCGCAUGAUUUGCAUGUAUGGGAGCGCGCUGAGAGACCGUAGGGGGUCGGACCGCCGAAUUGACGAAUUACGAAGUUAUAACUCAGAAGGGUUUCCUCUGACGGUGCGAAGUUUCGCUGAAUUUCGUUGAAGCUCGUGACUUUCCGGUGACCUUCGAGACGAAGAAACGAGAGUUUUCGCACCUCGCCGAAAACAUGCGGAUUUUCCUUCUUUACAGAGUGCCUUUGUGCGAAGAUCUUUUUGUGGAGAGUUCGAAUAUUUAUGGUUUAACUGUUCAUGCAUUCGUGGGCAUCGUUGUUUUCCCCCUUCGGAACUCGCAGCAGCCUAGCGCGACAUGGCUGCAUGAGAUGAGGCGAGAGGAAGUUCUUUGAGAGAGCUCAACAGAGGAGAACUUUUCCCUCUCUGAGUCUUUCUUCGUGUCUUCACAAGAGUUUUCACACGAGGGUAAACAGGGAAGGCCGAUGACAGAGAAGACAGGAUCUUCGACGAGAGCAGAAGACAUUCUGGUCUUUGUGUCGAAAGAACAGACGCUCUCAGACCACUGCAGUUCUUUUAAAGUGUGUUUCGCAACUUUUCGGAGUGGAAGUCACGUCUGUUCUUCUUCUGUUGUUUUGAUUCGAGAAGCCCUGUGAAGCCUUUUUUGACGAGAAACUCCUCCAGCAGUGUACUUUCACAGGCUUGGGAUCAGAGCUGAAUGUACACAGACUAGGAAGGCGGGAGGUUUUCAAGUUGAAAGAUGAAUUCCGAUCCAGG